GACGAACGCUGGCGGCGUGCUUAACACAUGCAAGUCGAACGAAGAGCGAUGGAAGCUUGCUUCUCUCAAUCUUAGUGGCGAACGGGUGAGUAACGCGUAAUCAACCUGCCCUUCAGAGGGGGACAACAGUUGGAAACGACUGCUAAUACCGCAUACGAUCUAAUCUCGGCAUCGAGGAUAGAUGAAAGGUGGCCUCUACAUGUAAGCUAUCACUGCAGGAGGGGAUUGCGUCUGAUUAGCUAGUUGGAGGGGUAACGGCCCACCAAGGCGAUGAUCAGUAGCCGGUCAGAGAGGAUGAACGGCCACAUUGGGACUGAGACACGGCCCAGACUCCUACGGGAGGCAGCAGUGGGGAAUCUUCCGCAAUGGAAGAAAGUCUGACGGAGCAACGCCGCGUGAGUGAUGACGGCCUUCGGGUUGUAAAGCUCUGUUAAUCGGGACGAAAGGACUUCUUGCGAAUAGGGAGAAGGAUUGACGGUACCGGAAUAGAAAGCCACGGCUAACUACGUG
RNAcentral lists this ribosomal RNA (510 nucleotides) under uncultured bacterium. RNAcentral's name for it is "partial 16S ribosomal RNA". It matches the Rfam family "Bacterial small subunit ribosomal RNA", at positions 28 to 507 of the family's 1533-position model. The record is from RNAcentral.